CCGACACUUCCCGCGGGCCCCGCUCCGGCCGCGGCUGUCGGGGAUCCCCGGAUCGAGAGCGGGAGAUUCAUCCCCCCGCCGCCAUCCCCCCGGAAGGAGCGUAACGCCCUCCUGCGCAGUCCGGCGGGGAUCGAAGGGCGAGCCGCAGCGGAGUGGCGCAGCGUCCGUCUGUGAAUAGCGGCCUCCCGCCGCCCCGCGCCAUCUUGACUACCAGCCGGGGGGCAGCCUUCCCCCUCCCUCUUCAAGAUGGCGCCGGCCGGGUGAGUGACAUGUCCAGUCACGUGGGCAGCGGAUGAGCCCCUCUCUCCCCCCGCCUUAAAUGAUCUCUAUGGUUCAGCCGGACACACAGGCGGCGGUGGCGGCAGCGGCGAGGGACGGAGCCGCGGCGGGAGCGGGGCCGCGGCGCCCGCCCGGCGCCUCCUUUGUCCUGCGGCCUCGGCAAGAAACCUCAGCACAUUUGGUUUUAGGAGCAACACAGGAUUGGUGAAAAGCAACAAAAUCCACCUUGGCUGCUGCGAGACAACAACGGACAUUGUAGAGUACCAACUAUAGCCCAGCACAACAAGGAAGAGACACGAAAACCUCAAGCUUCGCUACCGAGCUCCAUUUAUGAGGUCGACCAUGACCGUAAGUGCAGUAGUGGUGCAGGUUCUUGACGGCUAGCAGAGCCCUGCUUUUCUUUCUCAUUGCCUGCUUCCAGGGCAGAAGGGGAGAUGAGUCUAUUUAUUUUCCAUUUUCCUGAGUGGAGGAGCAGUGACUCAACUGAGAGGUUCACAAGAGCUGAUGUUCUUGCUCCUGAGCCUUGUUUUGGGUAGUGUGUAAAUGCCAGCCUUCAUCCAAAACCACCAGUGUCCUGAAAGAUUUAUCCCUCUACUUAUGUGGUUGUGUCCUACAAUUGUUUAGCCGCUGCUUAGCCUUGCAGGUCCCUAAGAAUCCGUGUCUCCACUAAUCACUAGGAGGCUCAGCUGCCUGCUGCUGGCCACGGGCGGGGGGCUUCAUGGGACCAAGCCAUCCGAUGGCCACAGACUGGUGCAUUCUUCCCAGGACUUGCAGAUAUCUGAAGCUUUUUAAUACAGA
RNAcentral lists this long non-coding RNA (1077 nucleotides) under Calidris pygmaea (Spoon-billed sandpiper). RNAcentral describes it as "lncRNA (ENSCPGG00000008385.1)". Lineage: Eukaryota; Metazoa; Chordata; Aves; Charadriiformes; Scolopacidae. The record is from RNAcentral.